UUUGAUAAAAAACAUGUUUUAAAAUCCUCUGAAAAAACCCUUUGGUGUUCUUCAUAUUCCUAGCCGGCCACCAUGAGGGGUGGAACCGACCACCGUUAUCGGCCAUGGAAAUAAAGAAAAAUGGUUGCUUCACGAUACUUUCUCUCUCCCUAACACAAAUCUAAGGAAAACUAAACUCGAAAGAAAAACCCAACCCUCGAGGAGGCUUCAGAUCUAAAGAGAUACACUGAAGAAACCUCCUCUUUCCUUGGGUUCAAAAGAAAAAAGACUCAAACAAUCACCCAAAAUGAUGCAUGCUAGCACGAAAUGUGGUAAAAAUGGUACCUUUGAAGAACAAAAUGUCUUGCAUGGAAGAGGAAAGGUGACCGGAGGGUGCACGAGACCAAGAGUUUCGUGGGUAGCCUUGCGUACGUCAUACACGUCAGAUUUGAAGUAAUCGAACGAUCGGGGAAGUCCAGGGUACUGUGCGUGCAUCACACGCUCUAAAUUUGGUCAUCCAAAACAACUACAGUGUUUUGAAGCAAUUGGGGCUGUCAUAUCGUCACCUAGAUCCAAGGGCAGAGAUACAACGGCGGCUAGGGUUAGAAAAUCCUAAGGUUUCCAACUGAACUUUAAAAUUUUGGGUCACAUGGGCCGAUUAAGUCUAGGGUCAAUUUGGAUUUGUGUUUGGGUUAUAUUUUGUACUGUAAUUUGGACAUUUUUCAAUUAUUUGGGCUAAAUGAGCCCGGACAAAAAUGACAUAUUACAAUUAUGAUAGUAAUUUAAUUUCAUUUGGUACAUAAGUUUUAGUUCGCAGAUUGUGAU
Long non-coding RNA from Hibiscus syriacus, 804 nucleotides. RefSeq lists it as uncharacterized. Lineage: Eukaryota; Viridiplantae; Streptophyta; Magnoliopsida; Malvales; Malvaceae. The transcript is spliced from 3 exons. The record is from RefSeq and is a predicted model, not a curated record.